This 2030-nucleotide ribosomal RNA is filed under the name Lopadostoma dryophilum. Its description in RNAcentral is "eukaryotic LSU rRNA". The stretch from base 690 to 2030 matches the Rfam family "Eukaryotic large subunit ribosomal RNA", at positions 1 to 1131 of the family's 3401-position model. The record is from RNAcentral. Lineage: Eukaryota; Fungi; Ascomycota; Sordariomycetes; Xylariales; Xylariaceae.
CACACCGCCCGUCGCUACUACCGAUUGAAUGGCUCAGUGAGGCUUUCGGACUGGCCCAGAGGAGUCGGCAACGACACCUCAGGGCCGGAAAGUUAUCCAAACUCGGUCAUUUAGAGGAAGUAAAAGUCGUAACAAGGUCUCCGUUGGUGAACCAGCGGAGGGAUCAUUACAGAGUUAUCUAAACUCCCAAACCCAUGUGAACUUACCUAUGUUGCCUCGGCAGGGAACCUACCCGGUACUUACCCGGUAACUACCCCGUAGCUACCCUGUAAUUGCUGGGUAGACCUGCCGAAGGACCCUUUAAACUCUUGUUUUACUGUGGCACUCUGAGUAACUAAAAAUAAAUAAGUUAAAACUUUCAACAACGGAUCUCUUGGUUCUGGCAUCGAUGAAGAACGCAGCGAAAUGCGAUAAGUAAUGUGAAUUGCAGAAUUCAGUGAAUCAUCGAAUCUUUGAACGCACAUUGCGCCCACUAGUAUUCUGGUGGGCAUGCCUGUUCGAGCGUCAUUUCAACCCCUAAGCCUUAGUUGUUUAGCGUUGGGAGUUUGCAUCCUCGCGGUUAGCCGCGACGCAACUCCUUAAAUCUCGUGGUAGGGCUCGCGUCGCCUUGAAGUGUAGUAAUUUUCUUCUCACUUUUUAAAGGCGUUCGCGCGGCACAGCCAAGUAAAACCUUAUAUAUAUCAAGUGGUUGACCUCGGAUCAGGUAGGAGUACCCGCUGAACUUAAGCAUAUCAAUAAGCGGAGGAAAAGAAACCAACAGGGAUUGCCCUAGUAACGGCGAGUGAAGCGGCAACAGCUCAAAUUUGAAAUCUGGCCCUCGGGUCCGAGUUGUAAUUUGUAGAGGAUGCUUUUGGUGCGGCGCCUUCCGAGUUCCCUGGAACGGGACGCCAUAGAGGGUGAGAGCCCCGUACGGUUGGAUGCCUAGCCUCUGUAAAGCUCCUUCGACGAGUCGAGUAGUUUGGGAAUGCUGCUCUAAAUGGGAGGUAAAUUUCUUCUAAAGCUAAAUACCGGCCAGAGACCGAUAGCGCACAAGUAGAGUGAUCGAAAGAUGAAAAGCACUUUGAAAAGAGGGUUAAAUAGCACGUGAAAUUGUUGAAAGGGAAGCACUUAUGACCAGACUUUUUCCUGGCGGAUCAUCCGGCGUUCUCGCCGGUGCACUUUGCCAGGUUAAGGCCAGCAUCGAUUUCUAUAGGGGGAUAAAGACUUCGGGAAAGUAGCUCUCUUCGGGGAGUGUUAUAGCCCGUCGUGUAAUACCCUUACGGGGAUCGAGGUUCGCGCUCUGCAAGGAUGCUGGCAUAAUGGUCAUCAGUGACCCGUCUUGAAACACGGACCAAGGAGUCGAACAUUUAUGCGAGUGUUUGGGUGUUAAACCCUCACGCGUAAUGAAAGUGAACGGAGGUGAGAGCCCUUACGGGUGCAUCAUCGACCGAUCCUGAUGUCUUCGGAUGGAUUUGAGUAAGAGCAUAACUGUUCGGACCCGAAAGAUGGUGAACUAUGCGUGGAUAGGGUGAAGCCAGAGGAAACUCUGGUGGAGGCUCGCAGCGGUUCUGACGUGCAAAUCGAUCGUCAAAUCUGCGCAUGGGGGCGAAAGACUAAUCGAACCAUUAACGGAGGGACCAGCGGUAAAUAAUUAUUUACUAGGUGGUUAAUAGGCUUCUUGCGAGAGGAAGCCUAGGUCGGACCUACCCGGUAGCUACCCGGUACUCCCUUACCCGGGAGCUACCCUGUAGUAUCGGGUAGCCGACCGACACCGCUAAAUUGCGGGGACAUCCUACAGAAGGCUCCAGGCUACCGCCCUGCGCUGAAAGGCGUACGCGGCACCAAGAAUAGCGCUCUUGGGUACGGUAAAAACGCCUGGGGUAGCGGACGACCUGCAGCCAACCCCGCCAGCCCCUAUAGGGGGGGCUUAGGGGAGAGUUCACUGACUAAACAGCGGUGGGUUUCAUAGUGCUAAUAGGUGCUAUGGGGCCUAAGACAUAGUCGAUCUGGGCCCUGAAAAGGUGACCCUGAAGUAUUAUAUACUAGCGAGC